Molecule: ribosomal RNA, 497 nt
Filed under: uncultured bacterium
Lineage: Bacteria
Description: partial 16S ribosomal RNA
Rfam family: Bacterial small subunit ribosomal RNA
Source: RNAcentral
GACGAACGCUGGCGGCGUGCCUAAUACAUGCAAGUUGAGCGCUGAAGGUUGGUACUUGUACCAACUGGAUGAGCAGCGAACGGGUGAGUAACGCGUGGGGAAUCUGCCUUUGAGCGGGGGACAACAUUUGGAAACGAAUGCUAAUACCGCAUAAAAACUUUAAACACAAGUUUUAAGUUUGAAAGAUGCAAUUGCAUCACUCAAAGAUGAUCCCGCGUUGUAUUAGCUAGUUGGUGAGGUAAAGGCUCACCAAGGCGAUGAUACAUAGCCGACCUGAGAGGGUGAUCGGCCACAUUGGGACUGAGACACGGCCUAAACUCCUACGGGAGGCAGCAGUAGGGAAUCUUCGGCAAUGGACGAAAGUCUGACCGAGCAACGCCGCGUGAGUGAAGAAGGUUUUCGGAUCGUAAAACUCUGUUGGUAGAGAAGAACGUUGGUGAGAGUGGAAAGCUCAUCAAGUGACGGUAACUACCCAGAAAGGGACGGCUAACUACGUG